GGGUGCGGAGGAAAAGAAACCAACAGGGAUUGCCCCAGUAACGGCGAGUGAAGCGGCAAGAGCUCAAAUUUGAAAUCUGGCCUCCCCCGGGGGUCCGAGUUGUAAUUUGCAGAGGAUGCUUCGGGCGCGGCCCCCGUCUAAGUUCCUUGGAACAGGACGUCAGAGAGGGUGAGAAUCCCGUCUUGGGCGGGCGGCCCGCGCCCGUGUGAAGCUCCUUCGACGAGUCGAGUUGUUUGGGAAUGCAGCUCUAAGCGGGUGGUAAAUUUCAUCUAAAGCUAAAUACCGGCCGGAGACCGAUAGCGCACAAGUAGAGUGAUCGAAAGGUUAAAAGCACCUUGAAAAGGGAGUUAAACAGCACGUGAAAUUGUUGAAAGGGAAGCGCUUGCGGCCAGACUCGGGGGGCGGGGUUCAGCGGGCGCUCGUCGCCCGUGCACUGCCCGCUCCCCGGGCCAGCAUCAGCUUCGACGGCCGGUCAAAGGCCCCCGGAAUGUGUCGUCUCUAGGGACGUCUUAUAGCCGGGGGUGCAAUGCGGCCCGUCGAGACUGAGGAACGCGCUCCGGCUCGGAUGCUGGCGUAAUGGCCGUAAGCGGCCCGCUGAA
Molecule: ribosomal RNA, 599 nt
Filed under: Trichophyton rubrum
Lineage: Eukaryota; Fungi; Ascomycota; Eurotiomycetes; Onygenales; Arthrodermataceae
Description: partial large subunit ribosomal RNA
Rfam family: Eukaryotic large subunit ribosomal RNA
Source: RNAcentral